Mycena galericulata is the source of this 87-nucleotide non-coding RNA. The record is from the annotation of a GenBank genome assembly. NCBI's taxonomy places the organism in Eukaryota, Fungi, Basidiomycota, Agaricomycetes, Agaricales, Mycenaceae.
GACCUGGUGGUGAAAUGCAUCACACCCACACUGCUCAGAACAGAAAAGUGGCAGUGAGAGUCCCUGGUUCGAACCCGGGUUAGGUCA